GCCUCGAUGGCUCAGUUGGUUAGAGCGCAGGUCUCAUAGUCAUUAUGAGGGUUAAACAUCAAUCCGCAAUCCUGAGGUCGCAAGUUCGAUCCUUGCUCGGGGCA
This 104-nucleotide transfer RNA is filed under the name Wolfiporia cocos MD-104 SS10. Its description in RNAcentral is "Wolfiporia cocos (strain MD-104) (brown rot fungus) tRNA". It matches the Rfam family "tRNA". Rfam says of the family: Transfer RNA (tRNA) molecules are approximately 80 nucleotides in length. Their secondary structure includes four short double-helical elements and three loops (D, anti-codon, and T loops). Further hydrogen bonds mediate the characteristic L-shaped molecular structure. tRNAs have two regions of fundamental functional importance: the anti-codon, which is responsible for specific mRNA codon recognition, and the 3' end, to which the tRNAs corresponding amino acid is attached (by aminoacyl-tRNA synthetases). tRNAs cope with the degeneracy of the genetic code in two manners: having more than one tRNA (with a specific anti-codon) for a particular amino acid; and 'wobble' base-pairing, i.e. permitting non-standard base-pairing at the 3rd anti-codon position. The record is from Rfam by way of RNAcentral. Lineage: Eukaryota; Fungi; Basidiomycota; Agaricomycetes; Polyporales; Phaeolaceae.